Molecule: ribosomal RNA, 473 nt
Filed under: uncultured bacterium
Lineage: Bacteria
Description: bacterial SSU rRNA
Rfam family: Bacterial small subunit ribosomal RNA
Source: RNAcentral
GGGCUCACACAAGCGGUGGAGCAUGUGGAUUAAUUCGAAGCAACGCGCAGAACCUUACCUGGGUUUGACAUGCUUGGAUGCCAAUCUGGAAACAGAGGAAGCUGCCUUCGGGUGAAACUUGCACAGGUGCUGCAUGGCUGUCGUCAGCUCGUGUCGUGAGAUGUCGGGUUAAGUCCUUUAACGAGCGAAACCCCUGCCGUUAGUUGCCAGCGGGUCAUGCCGGGAACUCUAACGGGACUGCCGGUGUCAAACCGGAGGAAGGUGGGGAUGACGUCAAGUCCUCAUGGCCUUUAUACCCAGGGCCUCACACGUGCUACAAUGGCGGCUACAAAGCGACGCAAAACCGCGAGGUGGAGCAAAUCGCAAAAAAGUCGCCUCAGUUCAGAUUGUAGGCUGGCAACUCGCCUACAUGAAGGCGGAAUCGCUAGUAAUCGCGUAUCAGCGAUGACGCGGUGAAUGUGUUCCUGAGCCUU